GACGAACGCUGGCGGCGUGCUUAACACAUGCAAGUCGAACGAGAAUCUGCGGAAAGAGGAUUCGUCCAAUUGAAGCAGAGGACAGUGGCGGACGGGUGAGUAACGCGUGAGGAACCUGCCUUUCAGAGGGGGACAACAGUUGGAAACGACUGCUAAUACCGCAUGACACAUCGGAGUCGCAUGGCUCUGAUGUCAAAGAUUUAUCGCUGAAAGAUGGCCUCGCGUCUGAUUAGCUAGUUGGUGAGGUAACGGCCCACCAAGGCGACGAUCAGUAGCCGGACUGAGAGGUUGAACGGCCACAUUGGGACUGAGAUACGGCCCAGACUCCUACGGGAGGCAGCAGUGGGGAAUAUUGGGCAAUGGGCGCAAGCCUGACCCAGCAACGCCGCGUGAAGGAAGAAGGCUUUCGGGUUGUAAACUUCUUUGUCAGGGACGAGUAGAAGACGGUACCUGACGAAUAAGCCACGGCUAACUACGUGCCAGCACGG
RNAcentral lists this ribosomal RNA (488 nucleotides) under uncultured bacterium. RNAcentral describes it as "bacterial SSU rRNA". It matches the Rfam family "Bacterial small subunit ribosomal RNA", at positions 28 to 516 of the family's 1533-position model. The record is from RNAcentral.